This 300-nucleotide microRNA precursor is filed under the name Amborella trichopoda. Its description in RNAcentral is "miR8562c stem-loop (atr-MIR8562c)". The stretch from base 39 to 262 matches the Rfam family "MIR8562 microRNA precursor family". Lineage: Eukaryota; Viridiplantae; Streptophyta; Magnoliopsida; Amborellales; Amborellaceae. The record is from miRBase by way of RNAcentral.
CGGUCAGAGUUGUCUAAUAGUUUUUUAAUUUUUAUUUUUUUUCUAUAAAUCAGAAUGAUCUGAAAUUUGGAGCGUGUGUUCAUAAAAAAUAGGAUAAUCUAAUAAAAAUAUAAAAAUAAAUAGACUAAAAUUCCUCUGAAAAUUUGUGAGAGUAUUUUGGUCAAUUUAUAUUUUGAAAUUUUUUUUUUCAUAUUUUUAUUAAUUGUCUCUCACUAAGAUGUACACGCACUCCAAAUUUCAGAUCAUUCCGAUUUAUAGAAAACAAAUAAAAAUUGAAAUACUAGCGUACAAUCGUGACCG